GGCCGCGUAGUACAAUGGAUAGUAUGGAGGUUUCCGGAGCCUCAGAUUUAGGUUCGAUUCCUAACGUGGCUA
This 72-nucleotide transfer RNA is filed under the name Bacteroidota bacterium. Its description in RNAcentral is "Bacteroidetes bacterium (activated sludge metagenome) tRNA-Arg". It matches the Rfam family "tRNA". Rfam says of the family: Transfer RNA (tRNA) molecules are approximately 80 nucleotides in length. Their secondary structure includes four short double-helical elements and three loops (D, anti-codon, and T loops). The record is from RNAcentral. Lineage: Bacteria; Pseudomonadati; Bacteroidota.